UUGAACAUGCCAGAAGGACAGUAAACAGGAAAUAGCAGGAUUCUGUAUCCUUUUGUGGGCUGGAAAAAGCGGAAAAAGCAGAAAAAGCCUUUCACAGCUGCAUUCCUGACCUUUACCAAUGAAUGAAUAUUUGUCUAGAGGUUCACUGAACCACAUAUUCCGUGCCCAGCCACAUCUGCAAGUACUGUAAGCAGACACCACUUCUGAAAAUAGGACCCACAAAAGGUGUUGCUAAGUGAGAGUAUGUAAAAACAUUUUUGUGCAGUGCAGUUUCAAACCCUCAGUCUGGUAAGGAAAUCAGAGAACUAAUAAAUCAUAAGAGUUCCUCUGAUUGUAUAUGAACUUUUGUAGUUAUUUGCACCUAUAUUGAAAGGGAAAAAUCUUUGGAGCUAAUUUAUUUUUUGUGUAUUACAGCUGAUAGUACUCACAUUGAUCUGUUUAGACACAAUGAACUUAAAAUGAUUUGAAGUUAUAGGGUUAAAAACCUCCUUAGUUUAGAAGGAUAAAAAGUGUUAAGAAUCCACAGAAUGCAGUAGGUGUUUACUAUUAUUUUCUGCUUCCUGUUACUGCAGUCUAAAAAAGAAAAAGUCACUGAGCUAAUUAAAUUAUAUAAGGAAGACAUCAAGAAACAAUAUUAAAAGAAAAUUGGUUUUGACUACAGUCUGUAUUUAUGCUGAAGUAACGAUGAGCAAUAUCAUUCAGGUUUCAUUUGUUCAAAGUCCACAAGAUAAUGUACAUAUUCAGCAAAAGAAAAAUAUACAUCCAGGCAACAAACUACUAUGUGAAAGUAAUUUCAUGCUCAAUGACAACAUAUGGAACCUUGUUUUUUCACACUGGAUGAACUUCUGUCUUACCAUUGCUUGACUGGUCUUCCCAUUUUUGUCAGUAGCAGCACAGGAAAGUAAGCAAAAUAAAAUGAAAAGUUUGGUGUCAUUCUGAGAGCAACAAGAAGCACUAGACAAUGCCUGCUGUAAACUCAGUGUUCAUCCUGGCACCAGGAAGGAACUGCAAAAUCAUUUCUCUGAAAUUUUAAUGAACUCCAACGAGAAUGCUGCUGGUUAAUGGACUUUAUGCAAUGGGCGGAAACUCAUCCAUUCACAAUCCAACUUUUCGUGGGGCUGGCUUGGUUUGCUAAUAUUCAUUAUCACUUUACAUCUACCUCUUUUGAAUGCUGGUGUGGAUGCAGCUGAUCUGAAAAAUCUAACCUUGUGCUUGACUUUGUUCCAAGCCAGGAUGUGUGCAUGGAGCACCAGAGGGAUCUCAGUGGAAUUUGAUUGCAAUUCUUUUACUGUGUGGACUGUGUGAGCAUGUCUGUACCACCCAGUCAAUGCUACAUCACAUCAAGAUACUGGAAUAAGGUCUGCAUGAGGCAGGAUUUGCAUGGGAAGCAGCACAGCCCUGGAAUGUAGCAUUGCACCCAAGCUAAGGUACCCCUUGUUUCAGUAGGGUCCUUUGCCUCCGGGGGACACCAAACAAGCAGAGACACAGUGUUUGUAGGUCCCUUCUUCUGACAUCCUUGUGUAGUAGCACAGUGUGAAGUAAAGGUGUAAUUCCAGCUUUUUCUGUUGCAGCUGUUUCACUUCCCAGAAAUACUUUAGUGCUCACAAAGAUACAGAGCAUGUGGGAACUACUGUUUAGAUUUUGAGCCAGUGAGCCCAUGCAUACCAGUAACAAUCACAAAUACAACAGCUUUUUCUGUAUAAAAUAAAAGUAUGCUUAUCCAAAUCAGUUUACAGGAUUGGAAACUUAAAAAAAAAAUUCACAAUUUCCGUUUCAUGGAACCGUUUUGAACAACUUUUAAUUCACGUGACAAGGAUUUUAAGACUUUAACAUUUUUAUCAUUAAACAACAUUUUAUUUCAAAUUAAAAUAAAAUAUUCUUUCUAAAUGCAUGACAAUAAAACCUGAUGUCUUAGCUCCCCAUACUUGUUCCUCUGAGAAAAUAAAGUGUCAAAUACCCUAAAUUCCACACUCUGGAGCAAUUUAGAUCUCCUUAGAGAUCACAGUUUGAACUACAAAUGCAAUAAGGGCUGCAUCCUGCUGUAGCUGAAAUCCUUCCUAAGUCUACUUCUGCUUUUCAAUCUCUCUAAUUUUUCAUUAGAUCAAGAGUCACACAUUUUUGUUGGCAGUAAAGCAAUUCCAAUUUGAACUGCCUUCUGUCUUCAAUAGGAAUUUUCCUAAAGUACAGAAAUAAAAAUGUAAAACUUUGCUGUGUUUCAUUACUUUCAUUCUUUUGAACAUUGCGGCUCUGAAAGCUCUGUGUGAAAUUAUUAGAAGAUGGGUUUUGAAAUGCUUGUGAAAGUAGAUGCAUAUAUGGGACUCAAAGGGCCUUAUUUAAAAAAGAAAUUUGCCAGUUACCCAGAUCUCUGGUUGGUUAUGCCCAUUCAAGGAUACAGAAUCCAUCAUUCCUAUGAUUAUUUUUACAUCUGAACUUUUUUUUUAUACUAGAUAGACUUGAAACUUUCAGGGUCAUUUGCCCAGCAUGUAGUUGAAUGUCCUGUGCUAUAGAUUCCAAUUAGCAAGACCAUGUUCAAUGGUCCUACACCUCCAAUGCUGUCUAACUGCUUUCCACUUGGCUUUAUAUGUUUCUUCUUUGUUGCAGCUGCAACCAGGUCUAUCUACCCUUUGAUAGAAAAAUUUCAAUUACCCCAGGGAGAAGCUUUUAGCUUUAUUAAGCAUUGAAGUCUACACAUUUGUUCUUCUGUUGAAGAGCAGUUCAAAAGGAGACUUUCUGAGGAAGUAAUCUGAUAAAUUAGGAUAAAUCUUGUGGACUUUCACUGCUAAUGUUUUUCCUGUAGUCUGAGCCUAAGAAUCUGCCAACUCAAUGUACAGUUAAGCAUUUCUUUAACACUUUUAGCCACUGACAGAUGUUUCUUAUACUUUACAAGUAAGUGGCUCUUCAGUGUUUUUUGAGACUGCUGUGCUCUCAGCAUAAAAUUGAUGUCACAGAAGGCUGAAGAGCUGUGCUCCAGCCUUGAUAGACAGUGACAGAAAACUGUUCCCAUCUGGCAGCUCUGUACUGGCCUCUGAGUAAACUAAUGGUUUCCUUUCUGAGAUGAUGGGUGUCAACUCAUCACCUCCUUGCUGCCCAGAGUAACCUUAGUUAUCUCAGGAAAAGCAAGGCCUGCAUACACCAGGUCUCUAAUCUGCCCUCGCUUUGUUGUCAUUGCCCUCUCGGGGGAGUGGGGUGGCCAAGUGAGGUGGAGGAAAGCUGGCAAUAACACUGUUGUAAGUCACAUCUCUUUGUAGAUAAAAAAAAAGGAGCUGCUCUUCCUAAUGCUGUCAAUCUUGUAUUUCAUUUCAUUGGUGGGUUCAUUUAUGCCAGUAAAUAAGGCUGUCAUUUCUGCUUUUUAGUGUUUGAGAAUUCCACAAAAGUUUCACGUCGCUGGUUUGAAAUCGAAUCUUUCAUUAUUGUCUCUAUCUUGCAAAUUAAUUUAUUACUGUAUUUGAAGUCCUAAAUGCCUCUUGAGAGAGCUGAACAUACAGUCUAACAAUCUACCCAUAAAGAGCAAACAUGAGUUACACAUUUAAAGAAGAU
Neopelma chrysocephalum (saffron-crested tyrant-manakin) is the source of this 3537-nucleotide long non-coding RNA. RefSeq lists it as uncharacterized. The record is from RefSeq and is a predicted model, not a curated record. The transcript is spliced from 3 exons. Lineage: Eukaryota; Metazoa; Chordata; Aves; Passeriformes; Pipridae.